Molecule: transfer RNA, 76 nt
Filed under: Enteractinococcus helveticum
Lineage: Bacteria; Bacillati; Actinomycetota; Actinomycetes; Micrococcales; Micrococcaceae
Description: tRNA-Glu
Rfam family: tRNA
About the family: Transfer RNA (tRNA) molecules are approximately 80 nucleotides in length.
Source: RNAcentral
GGCCCCAUCGUAUAGCGGCCUAGUACGCCGCCCUCUCACGGCGGUAGCACGGGUUCAAAUCCCGUUGGGGUCACAA